UUGAUUUGAUUGAUAUGACCAUGACAUGAUAGAUUUGAUGUUUUCAUAAAUAAACAAAUUGUUUUCAUAAUUUAAAAAAGGUCCCUGAUGAGACUCCUGAUGGUAAGUAUUUGAUGACGUAAUUACUCACUUUAACAAUUUUAUGAUGUUACUUAAAUACUAUUUUCCUUACUUAAUAUAUGGAACUCACCUCUUUCCAUGCCGCCCUCAAGAUCAGGAAGAUAGUGAGGAACCCACCGCUGACCUAUC
This 249-nucleotide long non-coding RNA is filed under the name Carica papaya (papaya). RNAcentral describes it as "long non-coding RNA (CPAP_LNC014804)". The record is from RNAcentral. Lineage: Eukaryota; Viridiplantae; Streptophyta; Magnoliopsida; Brassicales; Caricaceae.